This 3486-nucleotide small RNA is filed under the name Histoplasma capsulatum. RNAcentral's name for it is "hypothetical RNA". RNAcentral also lists the same sequence under 1 other name. Lineage: Eukaryota; Fungi; Ascomycota; Eurotiomycetes; Onygenales; Ajellomycetaceae. The record is from RNAcentral.
CAGGAAAGGACUUGGGAAGUACCUCGGAGCGCCAGGCGGGCGGCGCGGCCUGUGAUUGGCUGCACGGCGCACACAACGCAUCGCAGCCCCGCCCUUUCCUGCGAUUUGAAAUCCGUCAACCUCAACUCACGCAACUCUCUCAACUCACCCACUGCCUCAGCCUACUUCCUCGCUCCUUACUACGCCGUGCGUGACUAGUGUCUCGGCUGAUUCCUCUCCUCAUCUCCGUUCUUCCUCUCUGUUUGCUUUUUCUCCCUGUGCCCUCCUCAUCCCCAACUCCCACCUCCCACCCACUGAACUUUCUCAAACUUCCGCUUUCUCACAGGUCGAGUGAGCGCUCGAUUCUGUCUUGUGUGUUCUUCCACUGAUCUUCACUCUGACAGAAUCAAAGCGAACCGAUAGUAUACCAGACUAAAGAAGAAAAAAAAGACAAAAAACAACCGGCAAAAAAUUUCUUAUCGCACAACCCCGCCUCUAGGGCUUUUUUGAUCAAGCAAAUCCGUCAAGAUGGUCAACUUCACCGUCGAGGAGAUCCGUCAAUUGAUGGACCGUCCGGCCAACAUCCGGAAUAUGUCCGUCAUUGCUCACGUCGAUCACGGUAAAUCCACUUUGACCGACUCUCUGGUCCAGCGUGCUGGUAUUAUCUCUGCUGCAAAGGCUGGCGAGGCCCGUUUCACAGACACCCGUCAGGACGAGCAGGAUCGCUGUAUCACCAUCAAGUCUACUGCCAUCUCCCUCUAUGCCCACCUACCGGAUCCGGACGAUCUCAAGGAUAUCCCCCAAAAAGUGGACGGAAAUGAAUUCUUGAUCAACUUGAUCGAUUCCCCCGGCCACGUUGACUUCUCUUCUGAGGUCACUGCCGCCCUGCGUGUCACUGACGGUGCUCUCGUUGUCGUCGACUGUGUCUCUGGCGUCUGUGUCCAGACCGAGACUGUCCUCCGACAGGCCCUUGGUGAGCGUAUCAAGCCCGUCUGUAUCAUCAACAAGGUGGACCGUGCCCUCCUUGAGCUGCAAGUUACCAAGGAAGACUUGUACCAGUCAUUCUCGAGAACAAUCGAGUCCGUCAACGUUAUUAUCGCGACCUACUUCGACAAGGCACUUGGUGACGUCCAGGUCUACCCUUACAAGGGAACUGUUGCUUUCGGGUCUGGUCUUCAUGGAUGGGCUUUCACUGUGAGGCAGUUCGCUGCCAGGUAUGCCAAGAAAUUCGGUGUUGACCGUAACAAGAUGAUGGAGCGUCUCUGGGGCGAUAACUACUUCAACCCCAAGACCAAGAAGUGGACCAAGGUUGGUGAACUCGAUGGCAAGCCUCUUGAGCGUGCUUUCUGCCAGUUCAUCCUCGACCCCAUCUUCAAGAUCUUCAAUGCUAUCACCCAUGCCAAGAAGGAGGAGAUCAACACCCUCGUCGAGAAGCUUGAUAUCAAGCUUACCUCUGAAGAGAAAGAGUUAGAAGGCAAGCCUCUUCUCAAAAUUGUAAUGAAGAAGUUCCUGCCGGCCGCCGAUGCCCUGAUGGAAAUGAUGGUGUUGCAUCUCCCUUCCCCAGUCACUGCCCAGAAAUACCGCGCCGAAACUCUGUACGAAGGUCCCCCCGAUGACGAUGUUUGCAUUGGUAUUCGCGACUGCGACCCUAAGGCCCCUCUCAUGCUUUACGUCUCGAAAAUGGUGCCGACCUCUGAUAAGGGCCGUUUCUACGCCUUCGGCCGUGUCUUCGCUGGUACCGUCCGCUCUGGUCUCAAAGUCCGCAUCCAGGGCCCCAACUACACUCCUGGCCGCAAGGAAGAUCUGUUCAUCAAGGCUAUCCAGCGGACCAUUCUCAUGAUGGGCCGCUUCAUCGAGCCAAUUGAGGAUGUGCCUGCUGGUAACAUUCUUGGAUUGGUCGGCGUCGAUCAGUUCUUGCUCAAGUCUGGUACCCUCACCACCUCUGAGACUGCCCACAACCUCAAGGUCAUGAAAUUCUCCGUCUCCCCCGUCGUACAGCGCUCCGUCGAAGUCAAGAAUGCCAACGACUUGCCCAAGCUUGUCGAAGGUCUCAAACGUCUGUCCAAGUCUGAUCCGUGCGUCCUGACGUACAUAUCCGAGUCUGGCGAGCACGUCGUCGCCGGUGCUGGUGAAUUGCAUUUGGAAAUUUGCUUGAAAGAUCUGGAAGAAGACCACGCCGGUGUUCCCCUCCGUGUUUCCGACCCUGUCGUUUCCUACCGUGAGACUGUCGGUAGUACCUCCAGCAUAACCGCUCUCUCCAAGUCCCCCAACAAACACAACCGUCUCUACAUGACCGCACAGCCCUUAGAGGAGGAUGUCUCCCGUGACAUCGAGAACGGCAAGAUCGGCCCGCGCGAUGACUUCAAAGCCCGUGCCCGUAUCCUCGCCGAUGAGCACGGCUGGGACGUCACCGACGCCCGCAAAAUCUGGUGUUUCGGCCCCGACACCACUGGCGCCAACUUGCUCGUCGACCAAACCAAAGCUGUUCAAUAUCUCAACGAAAUCAAGGACUCCGUCGUCUCCGGCUUCCAAUGGGCAACUCGCGAGGGUCCCAUUGCUGACGAACCAAUGCGCUCCGUCCGCUUCAACAUUCUCGACGUCACCUUACAUGCUGACGCUAUCCACCGCGGCGGUGGACAGAUCAUCCCCACCGCACGCCGUGUCCUGUACGCAGCAACUCUCCUCGCAGAACCAGGAAUUCUCGAACCCGUCUUCCUGGUCGAGAUCCAAGUGCCCGAACAGGCUAUGGGUGGCAUCUACGGCGUCCUCACUCGGCGCCGUGGCCACGUGUUUUUCGAAGAGCAGAGACCGGGCACCCCGCUGUUCACAGUCAAAGCAUACCUGCCCGUCAACGAAUCGUUCGGCUUCCCUGCGGACUUGCGCAGUGCGACUGGUGGACAAGCGUUCCCGCAAUCCGUCUUCGAUCACUGGCAGAUCUUGCCUGGUGGGUCUCCGUUGGAUGUUACCACGAAGCCUGGACAGGUUGUUACCGAGAUGCGGAAGAGGAAGGGUAUUAAGGAGGUUGUUCCUGGUGUUGAGAAUUAUUACGACAAAUUGUAAAAAAGGGUCGAAUUUCACAUCCUCGCUUCCACGAAAUGAGGACGAAUAAUAGAAAAUUAGCACUACUAACGGGAGGAGGCAACGAAGAAAGAAAAACGAUGUUAAUGAUAUCCCCAACCUUGACUUGCCACUCGGCCCUCACGCCCUCCCCCUGACUUGUCUUUUUCCUAACGAAAUUCGACGACUUUUCAAACGAACAGGAAAUAAAAUUAAAAUAAAACUGCCAAAUAUUGACUGCGUUUGUGUUCUAUGUGUGUUUGUUAAUUGACCUUUCUUUUAUUUUCUUCACUACUGUUCGUUUUCAUUUUCAUUUUUAUGUUUACUGAAUGUUUCAUUGUCUGUUUUUUCUAUUUCAAUUAAUAAGUUGUAGAAGAAAACAAAAAUAAAAUAAAAUAAAAUAGGAGCUUUUGUUUAAAAUAAUAGUAAACACUUCGUUUCGUACUUGCA